UGGUUUAGAGUGAAACUCUUUAACAAAUGACUUUUCCAUUCUAAAUGUUUUCUUAAUUGUGUGGCAAUAAUUACUCGAGGGGAUGUUAAGACUGGAAAAUAUGAAAACAGCAAUUGAAAUGUACAAGCAAGAAAAGAGAAGGGCAAGAAGAAGUUUUUCAAAGAGGCAUUCUUUCCUUCCUUAAGAGUAAAGUGGAGCAAAACCUCAUAUUUAACUCCUUAAAUGAAUACACCAGAUUUGGCAAGAGAAAUAGCUGUGUUCCACUUGGCCUGGUCUGCUUAAAUUAACUCAGAGAAGACAUGAAUGAAACACAUGUCAUGGUCAGACACUUAAGACACUUAAAGGAGGGUUUGUGGGACAGACGACUGGGAAUUCAGUGCAACAGUCAACUCUCAAUAGCAACCAGGAAAGAAUCCCUUCAGGCCAAAUAUUCCCACAGGGGAUAGAAGCAGCAGUGGUGAACGACGUAUCAAUGGGAAUUGGACAAGGCUGUUCAGCUCAUUUUACCAUAUGCUACAGACUCCCAGACAUGAUAGCACGACAUCAUCUCUUUCCUGCUAAUAUCAGCUGAAUGUACAAGUUUUAUCCUAAGAAGAGCUCAUUCAAAAUCAAUAAAUGCAUGGGUAAAAAUCUUAGCUUUGGAGUACAACACCUUCAUGAGGUACUGAGCUGCACAAAAUGGUAAGGAAGAUUGUAGUAACAAGGCUGAGAUGCUGGAUCACAGCAAAAGUAUGUGGUCACAUGCUACAUAUUAAGGGAAUAGUCUGUGCCAGUCCUGUGGCAUUAGCACAAUAUGAACAUCCUGAAGCAGAGCCAUGAUCAGCACAUUCCCUUUCGCUCGCUAUAGUGGAGUGAAAGGACAGCUUCACCAAAAAUGUACUGGCCCAUUUGCAGACAAAGCAGGGAGGAUAUUACAGCUUUGGCAAGGCAAUGAAUCUUGCAAGGCCAAGAAGGAGCAAACUAGACCACAGUGGGGAAAGAAACUAUCUCAGAGCAAGCUUGUGCUAUUUUCCUAACCUGACACAGUAGUUUAAUAAAUCCUUGGAGUGUCAGGAAGAAGCAAGCUGAGAAAGGUGACGGGAGGAUACCAGAGAUGCAGCAUUAAUUCAGUGUGAUCGGUGACUCAGUCACUGAGUUACUGAUUGCCAAACAUAAUCCUGCACCUUCAGAGAAUAUGAGCACACAGAAAGCUUUAAGAAAAGCAAAGGUACAUUAAAAGCAUACAUGAGAAAGGCAAACAGUAAGAAAAUA
This is a non-coding RNA of Phalacrocorax carbo (great cormorant), 1251 nucleotides long. The record is from RefSeq and is a predicted model, not a curated record. Lineage: Eukaryota; Metazoa; Chordata; Aves; Suliformes; Phalacrocoracidae.